GCCGAAAUAGCUCAGUCGGGGGAGCGUUAGACUGAAGAUCUAAAGGUCCCUGGUUCGAUCCCGGGUUUCGGCA
Ornithorhynchus anatinus (platypus) is the source of this 73-nucleotide non-coding RNA. The record is from the annotation of a RefSeq genome assembly. NCBI's taxonomy places the organism in Eukaryota, Metazoa, Chordata, Mammalia, Monotremata, Ornithorhynchidae.